UGAAUAUUUUAACACCCUUGGCGGACUCGGUUAGAUGCCUUGGCCAAGGUAUCCCCGAGGAUUAGUUUUGGCUUGAGCCUUGUUUUAAUAAAAGACAUAAGCCUUAACAACUGUUUUGGUAAAUUACAAAUAUUUUAUGGUUUAAGAAACAAAUUGAAAAUAUUAUGAAAUGGGUUGAAAUUUGUUGUUUAAACUUGCCUCCAUUUU
Molecule: long non-coding RNA, 207 nt
Filed under: Theobroma cacao (cacao)
Lineage: Eukaryota; Viridiplantae; Streptophyta; Magnoliopsida; Malvales; Malvaceae
Description: long non-coding RNA (TCAC_LNC003415)
Source: RNAcentral